RNAcentral lists this ribosomal RNA (431 nucleotides) under uncultured Kiloniellales bacterium. RNAcentral describes it as "bacterial SSU rRNA". It matches the Rfam family "Bacterial small subunit ribosomal RNA", at positions 29 to 505 of the family's 1533-position model. The record is from RNAcentral. Lineage: Bacteria; Pseudomonadati; Pseudomonadota; Alphaproteobacteria; Rhodospirillales.
AACGAACGCUGGCGGCAGGCCUAACACAUGCAAGUCGAACGCUCUUUUCGGAGAGAGUGGCGCACGGGUGAGUAACGCGUGGGGAAUUGCCCUGGGGUACGGAAUAACCAUUGGAAACGAUGGCUAAUACCGUAUACGCCUUGAGAGGGAAAGAUUUAUCGCCCUGGGAUAUACCCGCGUUGGAUUAGGUAGUUGGUGAGGUAAAGGCUCACCAAGCCGACGAUCCAUAGCUGGUCUGAGAGGAUGAUCAGCCACACUGGGACUGAGACACGGCCCAGACUCCUACGGGAGGCAGCAGUGGGGAAUAUUGGACAAUGGGGGCAACCCUGAUCCAGCCAUGCCGCGUGAGUGAAGAAGGCCUUCGGGUUGUAAAGCUCUUUCAACGGUGACGAUGAUGACGGUAGCCGUAGAAGAAGCCCCGGCUAACUUCG